RNAcentral lists this unclassified non-coding RNA (211 nucleotides) under Hevea brasiliensis (rubber tree). Lineage: Eukaryota; Viridiplantae; Streptophyta; Magnoliopsida; Malpighiales; Euphorbiaceae. The record is from RNAcentral.
GGAAGGUCGACAUGAUGGGUUGGUGGUGAUGGUGAUCCUGCUGGUCUCUGUGAUGAAGAAGAGAAGAGGAGGGAGGAGCUGCAGGCGGCAGUUCCUCCUCCGAGUUUCUGGAGAUCAGCGGAGAGGAGUUGCAUGUGGCAACUCCUCCUCCUUCUUCCUCCUCCAGCCAGUUACGCAGGUGCAGAUGAAGCUAGCUAAGCUUCGAGGGCCG